Molecule: unclassified non-coding RNA, 21 nt
Filed under: Dictyostelium discoideum
Lineage: Eukaryota; Evosea; Eumycetozoa; Dictyosteliales; Dictyosteliaceae
Source: RNAcentral
UUUCCUCAAGUACUGGGAACA